Molecule: unclassified non-coding RNA, 240 nt
Filed under: soil metagenome
Description: partial contains 5.8S ribosomal RNA, internal transcribed spacer 2, and large subunit ribosomal RNA
Source: RNAcentral
AACAUCGCGCACCUGCGGGAACCUGCGGAAGGAUCAUUACUGAGUCACGUGCCCAAACAACCCUUCUGUGGACCUGAAAUAAAACCGUUGCCUCGGCGGGCGGUCCCCCCCAAACCAACCCCACGUGGUGGGUUAGGGGAGACCAGACAGUCCGGUACGCUUAAGGCGUCCGGCGCCAGCCGCUGGCCCCAAACAAUUAAACUCUAGUAAUCUUUACCUUCUGAGUUUCAAUAUUUAAAA